This 253-nucleotide ribosomal RNA is filed under the name uncultured bacterium. RNAcentral's name for it is "partial 16S ribosomal RNA". It matches the Rfam family "Bacterial small subunit ribosomal RNA", at positions 524 to 776 of the family's 1533-position model. The record is from RNAcentral.
UACGAAGGAUGCGAGCGUUAUCCGGAUUUAUUGGGUUUAAAGGGUGCGUAGGCGGUCUUAUCAGUAAGUGGUGAAAUCUUGUCGCUUAACGACAAACGUGCCAUUGAUACUGUAGGACUUGAGUACAGAUGCCGUUGGCGGAAUGUGUCAUGUAGCGGUGAAAUGCAUAGAUAUGACACAGAACACCGAUUGCGAAGGCAGCUGACGAAACUGUAACUGACGCUGAUGCACGAAAGCGUGGGGAUCAAACAGG